This 62-nucleotide transfer RNA is filed under the name Botrylloides violaceus. RNAcentral describes it as "transfer RNA-Met". Lineage: Eukaryota; Metazoa; Chordata; Ascidiacea; Stolidobranchia; Styelidae. The record is from RNAcentral.
UAGCAGGUAAACUAGUUUAAGUUGUUGGGUUCAUGGCCCUUUUAAGGUCUCACCUUUGCUAC